RNAcentral lists this ribosomal RNA (301 nucleotides) under uncultured bacterium. RNAcentral's name for it is "partial 16S ribosomal RNA". It matches the Rfam family "Bacterial small subunit ribosomal RNA", at positions 509 to 807 of the family's 1533-position model. The record is from RNAcentral.
CAGCCGCCGCGGGAAAACGUAGGUGGCAAGCGUUGUCCGGAAUUAUUGGGCGUAAAGGGCUCGCAGGCGGUUUCUUAAGUCUGAUGUGAAAGCCCACGGCUCAACCGUGGAGGGUCAUUGGAAACUGGGAGACUUGAGUGCAGAAGAGGAGAGCGGAAUUCCAUGUGUGGCGGUGAAAUGCGUAGAUAUAUGGAGGAACACCAGUGGCGAAGGCGGCUCUCUGGUCUGUAACUGACGCUGAGGCUCGAAAGCGUGGGGAGCAAACAGGAUUAGAGACCCGUGUAGACCCUGCCUCUUAUAC